GGGUAUGAUUCAAGUAUGAAAAUAUUAUCAAAUUUAGAUAUACAAUGCACGUAUCCACUAGUUGUUGAGAUUCGUCCUAUGUUUUCGGUUUUUCCACUCGCAGAUGUAACAAAAUGUGGUUCCUUGCGUCCGUUAGUCAGAUGAACAACUCCAGCGAACUACUUCAUUCGCUCACGGGAUCAUCUCUUGAAUGAUUCGGCCAUCCUUGAUCGAUCGACAAGAGGAGGCCACCAGGCGAACCUG
RNAcentral lists this long non-coding RNA (243 nucleotides) under Hordeum vulgare. RNAcentral's name for it is "long non-coding RNA (HVUL_LNC019486)". Lineage: Eukaryota; Viridiplantae; Streptophyta; Magnoliopsida; Poales; Poaceae. The record is from RNAcentral.